GUGGACAGUAUCUGGUGCUUCGUUGGGUUACCAACGAAUUUUAGCAGUAGCAGCAGAACGACCUAUUUUUGGGCAAGGCUAUGAUGAAUAUUCGGAUAACAAUUCUAGUGGAGCUGAAUUUUUCCGCUCCGCUUCUCUUACUAUUUCCCUCCUUCGUGCUACUGGCCUUCUUCUCCCCUGUUACAGCAUAUUGCAGCGCCGUAGGGAGCAACAAGUAACUGCUCUUUCUUGAAAAAUGACAUCACUUAGUUGUGUCAUGUUGAUCUAGAUCACAAGAGAAUACUAAGCACGCAGAUUCGUAUUCGUUUUUCAUGAUAUGUACUAUGCAUAAUUGGUAAGGUUCGAGUCUUGUUAAGAAUGUGUCUGGUACUAAUCUGUAUUUUUCUAAUUUUUAAUAAUUAUGUUUAGAUAUAGUGGAGGCAAUUUUUCAACUUCCCU
This is a long non-coding RNA of Hibiscus syriacus, 438 nucleotides long. RefSeq lists it as uncharacterized. NCBI's taxonomy places the organism in Eukaryota, Viridiplantae, Streptophyta, Magnoliopsida, Malvales, Malvaceae. The transcript is spliced from 2 exons. The record is from RefSeq and is a predicted model, not a curated record.